Molecule: ribosomal RNA, 360 nt
Filed under: uncultured bacterium
Lineage: Bacteria
Description: bacterial SSU rRNA
Rfam family: Bacterial small subunit ribosomal RNA
Source: RNAcentral
GAACGAACGCUGGCGGCGUGCUUAACACAUGCAAGUCGAGCGGGAAAGUUUCCUUCGGGAAGCGAGUACAGCGGCAGACGGGUGAGUACAACGUAGGUAACCUACCCUCGAGACCGGGAUAACCUGUCGAAAGACGGGCUAAUACCGGAUAAGACCACAAGGGCUGCGGCCUUUGAGGUAAAAGAUGGCCUCUGCUUUGCAAGCUAUCACUUGGGGAUGGGCCUGCGCGCCAUUAGCAGUUGGUGAGGUAACGGCUCACCAAGGCAAAGAUGGCUAGCUGGUCUGAGAGGAUGGCCAGCCACACUGGGACUGAGACACGGCCCAGACUCCGUACGGGAGGCAGCAGUGGGGGAAUAUUGC